GAUCAACACAGAAUUUCAAAAGAAUCACAAUUGUCCCACUUCAAUCCAAGUUCCUGUCUCCAAGCAAUGAUUAAGCAAAUUACUGAUUGUGAUAUUGAUGCUGGCCGAGUGUCUCCUGAAGGGACUCUGUAUCUACACGGGGGAAGAUCCUGAAAACUUUGUGCAGGAAUAUGUGGGCAUGGAUGAAGUUGAUGUCAUUGAAGACAACUGGGGUUUAUGUCCUGAGAGAACAUGAGUCAAGUGAACCAGAGGACA
Long non-coding RNA from Alosa sapidissima (American shad), 255 nucleotides. RefSeq lists it as uncharacterized. The record is from RefSeq and is a predicted model, not a curated record. The transcript has 3 exons. NCBI's taxonomy places the organism in Eukaryota, Metazoa, Chordata, Actinopteri, Clupeiformes, Clupeidae.